GAGAAAAGUGUCUCCACUUAGUUUUAUGUUUGGGCGCUUUACACAGAGCGUGAGCAAAAAGCUUUUACACAUUCGAAAGCUUCCAGCCAGUUAGUCAAUUCUGUAUAUUUUGACAUGGGGAUGCCCAUGCAUUUUGGAAAUUACGCUGCAAAAGUAGAGUUGGAAGGAAUUUCUUCAAAAAAAUAAAAUCUUAUCAACAUUUAACUUUUUAUUCAUAUCGUUCAAGUUGCAGUUCCUUGGGGCCGAUCGUUGCCGAAGAUAAUCAUCUUUAAGGGGUUAUUUCUAAGCCGGCUCGGUUCUGUUCUGGAGCUCGUCAGUCUCCAGCUUUCGGUACGGAUUUGCUUCCGUUCGAUGCAGCCACCUGUGUAUGAUAGUUAAAAAAGAAGUAUGUAGUAUACAUGGAAAAAGGAUUGAAAUUGUAAUAUUUUUCAUAACAAAGUAAUCAGUUAUGUAAUCAAAUUCAAAAUUGUUAAAUUAUGUUUAAAACAAAUCUAAGAUAGAUUAACUCGAAAUUAAAUUAAACACUGAUCUCAAAACCUUAACCAUAGAGGGUGCUGAACUGAAAACCAAAAACUAAGAUUUUCAACCAAAUAGGAAACAUCAUGCACAGAGCAGGAUUAGAAUGAAUUAAUUCAUGUAAAAAUAUAUCAAAUAAAACAAACCUGUUUCAUCA
This is a long non-coding RNA of Uranotaenia lowii, 673 nucleotides long. RefSeq lists it as uncharacterized. NCBI's taxonomy places the organism in Eukaryota, Metazoa, Arthropoda, Insecta, Diptera, Culicidae. The transcript has 2 exons. The record is from RefSeq and is a predicted model, not a curated record.